UUAAAUAAAAAGACUAAGAUGAUAAUGGUUAUUAAAACAAUCCAAAAGUCACUGAGUUGUAUUUUAAUAAUCUUUGAAUUGUAAAUCUGGAUCUACCUAUUUCAUUUUACACUUGAUUUAGAAAACUACUUCAACUACUCUGACAAAAUCAUUUUGAUCCCAUAGAUAGCAUACUCUCUUUGCCAUUGUUCAAGAUUAUUUCACAAACAAGGGCUUCUACUUCUGAAAUUCAAAAAGUGUAAAGAUAGCUUACUCUCUUUGCCAUUGGUCAACACCAUUUCUCAAACAAGGAUUUCUAUCGCUAAACUUCAGACCGUAAAAAGGUAACAUCUUGUUCAGACUCAUUUUACAUUACGAGUCAAAAAUAUAACAAAAAGGUUUUUCUUAUGAUUUUAUUGGUAGCAUAAUUACACAAUCCCGCAAAAAGGGAAAACUGGUGCAUAAAGCAUCUAGCAUUAGCAGGGUCGGGGGAAGGGCCCGUGGCUUGAACGGCUUGAACCUGUGUCUUAUAGGUCAUAUGGGGAAAACUUUAACAUUGCUCGUAGGCGUAAUACAUAAAUCAGUUACUACUCUUGAUGAAUAAUGUACAGUGUGAUGCCUUUUGACCACUUCAUAAGCCUAUUACUUCAACUUGUCUCACAAAAAUAUGUCAAAAGGUACGACAAUGUUGAAGGUCUCUUAAUCAGAGGUCUCAGGGCGUGGUCGAAUGAAUGAGACUUUAGACUUUAGUUUGAGUUUGAUGAUUGAAUGCAAUGGUUCACCUAGCGGGUCGUGACAUGAUCCCUACCAGAGUUGUUAGGUCAAUAAUAUGAACUCGACCCUUUUGAUAAAAUUGUAGGAUAACAUCAUCUACUUUCACAAGCUAUCAAUCUCCACAAGUCUAAGUCAACUUUAAUAUGAAUAGAAGGGAGAAUGCCGCUCACAAAGAAGAGCGCUACCAAUAUCUCUUUUUUUUUUAUUGAGUCAAAGACCAGCGCUAAGUCCUGCCGAGCAAUCGCUUUCAAAACCCUUUUAUAAGGCAGGCUGCGGUGGGUCCCAUAGUUUUCUAUUUGAGAUAGGUGGUUUAAGUAAGUGUCCAAGGAUAAUGGCUUCCCAAAUGGAUAGAAGAGUUCCCCCCUAAUUUGGUGUCUUUUCUCAAAAAGAGAUGCGUCUUGCACUCUGUCUUUAGUUAUGUUUGGAAUUGAGCCUCGAGAAUACUGGAGGAAAUAUGCUCGAAUGAAUUCUGCCUUCAUUUCCCCCGUAUGGAGCACUGAGUUACUUACAUUACGGUCUUCGGCAGGCAGGCUGCACUCUAGGCUUCAAGGAUGGCUCGCUAGACCAGCAGCCAAACCAAGAAUGAAUGUGUAAUGAUGGUGAUUCCACACCAGGCUCAAU
Molecule: long non-coding RNA, 1374 nt
Organism: Capsicum annuum
Lineage: Eukaryota; Viridiplantae; Streptophyta; Magnoliopsida; Solanales; Solanaceae
Exons: 2
Source: RefSeq, a predicted model, not a curated record